This 463-nucleotide ribosomal RNA is filed under the name uncultured bacterium. RNAcentral describes it as "partial 16S ribosomal RNA". It matches the Rfam family "Bacterial small subunit ribosomal RNA", at positions 28 to 507 of the family's 1533-position model. The record is from RNAcentral.
GAUGAACGCUGACAGAAUGCUUAACACAUGCAAGUCUUUGGCGAAGCUGUGCUCGCACAGCCUAGCUAAGGCGGACGGGUGAGUAACGCGUAAGGAACUUGCUCUGCAGUCAGGGAUAACAGACGGAAACGACUGAUACGAACUGGUAAAGUCAGGCGGACCCAUGUCCAGCCUGUUGAAAAGUGUUGCUGCAGGAGGGCCUUGCGUCCUAUUAGCUUGUUGGUGGGGUAACGGCCCACCAAGGCGAUGAUAGGUAGCCGGCCUGAGAGGGUGGACGGCCACAAGGGGACUGAGAUACGGCCCUUACUCCUACGGGAGGCAGCAGUGGGGAAUAUUGGACAAUGGGGGCAACCCUGAUCCAGCAAUUCUGUGUGCACGAUGAAGGUUUUCGGAUUGUAAAGUGCUUUCAGCAGGGAAGAAAAAAAUGACGGUGCCUGCAGAAGAAGCGACGGCUAAAUACGUG